UCCAUCGUAAGAUGGAAUCUGAAGGAAGCUGGCGGCAAAAAUCCGGGCCGACGAACAGAAACUGCAUAUAAGGCGGGGUUAUAUGGGUAAUGUUGCUAAAGAAACAAAAGCCCUAUACUGCACAGAUUAUAACAACGUAAAUGCAGCGGCUAGAUGGAUGGAAAGCGUUACAC
Molecule: non-coding RNA, 173 nt
Filed under: Chitinophaga terrae (ex Kim and Jung 2007)
Lineage: Bacteria; Pseudomonadati; Bacteroidota; Chitinophagia; Chitinophagales; Chitinophagaceae
Source: RNAcentral